This 206-nucleotide ribosomal RNA is filed under the name uncultured bacterium. RNAcentral describes it as "partial 16S ribosomal RNA". It matches the Rfam family "Bacterial small subunit ribosomal RNA", at positions 1294 to 1500 of the family's 1533-position model. The record is from RNAcentral.
CGGAUUGUAGUCUGCAACCCGACUACAUGAAGCUGGAACCGCUAGUAAUCGCGGAUCAGCAUGCCGCGGUGAAUACGUUCCCGGGCCUUGUACACACCGCCCGUCACACCAUGAGAGUCGGAACACCCGAAGUCCGUAGCCUAACCGCGAAGGGGGCGCGGCCGAAGGUGGGUUCGAUAAUUGGGGUGAAGUCGUAACAAGGUAUC